This 321-nucleotide long non-coding RNA is filed under the name Salmo salar (Atlantic salmon). Its description in RNAcentral is "lncRNA (ENSSSAG00000112759.1)". The record is from RNAcentral. Lineage: Eukaryota; Metazoa; Chordata; Actinopteri; Salmoniformes; Salmonidae.
UGAGGAAAUUCCUUUUAAAGAACGACCAGGCUACCUCGACUGACGGGAUGAGACACGGCAAGGACAUCAGGGUUGGCGGAGUGUGCUAAAGCAGCUUUUUCGAUUACAGAAGUCAACAAAUGAGAGUGCCUGGGGACACGCAGGGCCUGAGAACCUCCACAUCACCCGAGGAACAGAGGAGGAGUAGGAUGAGGGUAUGGCUAAAGGAUAGCAAAACUGGUCGUCUAGUGCGUUGGGGACAGAGAAUAAAAGGAGCAGAUUUCUCGGCGUGGUAGAAUAGAUUCAGGGCAUAAUGUGCAGACAGGUAUGGUGAGGUGCGGG